CAGCAGCCGCGGGAAUACGUAGGGUGCAAGCGUUAAUCGGAAUUACUGGGCGUAAAGCGUGCGUAGGUGGUGGUUUAAGUCCGUUGUGAAAGCCCUGGGCUCAACCUGGGAAUUGCAGUGGAUACUGGGUCACUAGAGUGUGGUAGAGGAUAGUGGAAUUUCCGGUGUAGCAGUGAAAUGCGUAGAGAUCGGAAGGAACAUCUGUGGCGAAGGCGACUAUCUGGGCCAACACUGACACUGAGGCACGAAAGCGUGGGGAGCAAACAGGAUUAGAGACCCCCGUAGUCCCUGUCUCUUAUAC
This 301-nucleotide ribosomal RNA is filed under the name uncultured bacterium. RNAcentral's name for it is "partial 16S ribosomal RNA". It matches the Rfam family "Bacterial small subunit ribosomal RNA", at positions 509 to 807 of the family's 1533-position model. The record is from RNAcentral.